Molecule: long non-coding RNA, 295 nt
Filed under: Salvia miltiorrhiza (redroot sage)
Lineage: Eukaryota; Viridiplantae; Streptophyta; Magnoliopsida; Lamiales; Lamiaceae
Description: long non-coding RNA (SMIL_LNC013458)
Source: RNAcentral
CGCCGGAUUCUGACUGCUGCGCGCGACUUUCUUGUUUUGGCCAUAUCUUCCUCGUCCGAACUUGGAUUUGCGAUCCGUUUGCGCUCACGAACUCGUAUCGAGAUGAUCUACAACUUCUAUUUCAGGACAUUGUUCCAAAUUCGAACUCAAUAAAUCUGCAAAUUCCUUCAAAGUUCGAGUAAGAAUCAUGUUUCACAAGAUAAAGCAAAUUAAGCACAAAACAAUCAUCCAACACUCAAUUUCCUAUAAAAUUAACAUCAUAAUAACAUUAAAAACCAUGGAAACAUGAGUGUUA